RNAcentral lists this ribosomal RNA (495 nucleotides) under uncultured bacterium. RNAcentral's name for it is "bacterial SSU rRNA". It matches the Rfam family "Bacterial small subunit ribosomal RNA", at positions 31 to 518 of the family's 1533-position model. The record is from RNAcentral.
GAACGCUAGCUACAGGCUUAACACAUGCAAGUCGUGGGGCAGCAUGUUGUGUGCUGCACACAAUGAUGGCGACCGGCGCACGGGUGAGUAACGCGUAUCCAACCUGGCCUCAGUAGGGGAUAGCCGGCGAAAGUCGGAUUAAUACCCUAUGCACUCCUUUGCGGGCAUCUAACGAGGAGUAAAGAUUCAUCGCUGGGGGAUGGGGAUGCGUCUGAUUAGCUUGUUGGCGGGGUAACGGCCCACCAAGGCGACGAUCAGUAGGGGUUCUGAGAGGAAGGUCCCCCACACUGGUACUGAGACACGGACCAGACUCCUACGGGAGGCAGCAGUGAGGAAUAUUGGUCAAUGGGCGAGAGCCUGAACCAGCCAAGUAGCGUGCAGGAUGACGGCCCUAUGGGUUGUAAACUGCUUUUAUACGGGGAUAAAGUUCACCACGUGUGGUGUUUUGUAGGUACCGUAUGAAUAAGGACCGGCUAAUUCCGUGCCAGCCGCAGC